ACAAGGUGGAACACAGUGUUUUCUGUUUGGAGAACUCAGCCUGAAUAUGUAGGGCCUAUGUAUUACAUAUUUGAUAAGGAAAUAAUGUUAUAACAUAGAUCAGUGUAUAUAUUUUACUCCCUACGUUGAUGUUUUGCUCUGUAGAUUUAUAAUAUCGCUGGCAAUAGCAUGGACCCACCACCAUCUACUCAGGCCACAGUUUCGGGAGAUACGGGAGCCACGUCUUUGAUUAUGUCCAGCACUGAUUCUGAACCAAGGUUUGAACUGAAAGGACAAGUAUUCCCCUCUGCCCCCCCACUCAGCUCAGACAUGGCUAUUCCAGAUGUUUAUACCUCAGAUAAACUCAACUUUUAGUCUACGAAAGUGAGCUUCAGUCCAGUUCUGGCACAUGCAAACCACAUGCAAAACCAUUAUAUAAUGCCAUAAGGGAUACAAAAGUGUUUUUUUUUUAUUUAUUUUUUUUAUAACUGUAUUGUAAUAGCUUUACCUCUAUUAUUUACCUCUUCUACAACAAUGCAAUACUUUUAGGCAACUGUGUAAAUGUAUUUUAUAUACAUUUUCUACAUAAGGCUUUUUACAUAGACCUAUCACACUGGCAUGGUUACUGUUACAUCUCAAUAUAGUAUAUUUGGAGAUUGAGUUAAUACAAAGGUCUUUUAUAUUAUAGGUUACAUGGACUGCUAUGACAAUAAUGUAAAAAAAGAUAAGAAUGUAUGUACGAAUGUAAGAUGCAUCCUAGAGAUACACCAAUAUAUUGGUUGGCUGAGAUAUCAGGCCAAUAUUUGCACUUUUUAGUGAAUUGGCUUUUGGCCUUAAAUCUCAAGCACAGGACAAUAUUUUGAUUUGACUAACCUGCUACUUGAAGAGUAUGUGCAAAUUUUAUUUUGAACACUUUAAUGCAAAUAGAUAACUGCUAAAAUGUGACUACAUAGCCAUCUCGAAGGCUUGUGGUAAAAUGGGGCUGUAGGUAAUUUUGUUAUAAAUGAAAAUGGCGUAAUUUGGUGAAAAUAAUCAAAAUCAGCCUCACAUAUUGGUCCAAAAAUAUCUGCAGAGUUUAUCGGUCAUGAAAAAAUCAUCAGUCCAUUUCUACUUUGUCCCCCUUCCUUACGCCACCCUCCCAUGUCUGUUGUCUUAUUGUGUAUUAUAUGUAUUGUAUAAUAAGAAAAUAUAUUGUUUACUGAAUAUUGUUUAUCAUGCUAAUUAUGAAGUAAAAAAAAACAACAUUAAAAUGAGUUACAAAAUCUGUGUACA
This is a long non-coding RNA of Boleophthalmus pectinirostris (great blue-spotted mudskipper), 1251 nucleotides long. RefSeq lists it as uncharacterized. The transcript is spliced from 2 exons. The record is from RefSeq and is a predicted model, not a curated record. NCBI's taxonomy places the organism in Eukaryota, Metazoa, Chordata, Actinopteri, Gobiiformes, Gobiidae.